AUUGAACGCUGGCGGCAUGCUUUACACAUGCAAGUCGAACGGUAACAGGCCUUCGGGUGCUGACGAGUGGCGAACGGGUGAGUAAUGCAUCGGAACGUACCCAGAGGUGGGGGAUAACGCAGCGAAAGCUGUGCUAAUACCGCAUGUGAUCUGAGGAUGAAAGCGGGGGACCGAGCAGCAAUGUUUGGCCUCGCGCCUUUGGAGCGGCCGAUGUCGGAUUAGCUAGUUGGUGGGGUAAAGGCCUACCAAGGCGACGAUCCGUAACUGGUCUGAGAGGACGACCAGCCACACUGGGACUGAGACACGGCCCAGACUCCUACGGGAGGCAGCAGUGGGGAAUUUUGGACAAUGGGCGCAAGCCUGAUCCAGCAAUGCAGCGUACGGGAAGAAGGCCUGCGGGUUGUAAACCGCUUUUGGCAGGAACGAAACGGUGUCCGCUAAUACCGGGCGCUAAUGACGGUACCUGCAGAAUAAGCACCGGCUAACUACGU
RNAcentral lists this ribosomal RNA (491 nucleotides) under uncultured bacterium. Its description in RNAcentral is "partial 16S ribosomal RNA". It matches the Rfam family "Bacterial small subunit ribosomal RNA", at positions 29 to 506 of the family's 1533-position model. The record is from RNAcentral.